Molecule: ribosomal RNA, 492 nt
Filed under: uncultured bacterium
Lineage: Bacteria
Description: partial 16S ribosomal RNA
Rfam family: Bacterial small subunit ribosomal RNA
Source: RNAcentral
AGUGAACGCUGGCGGUAGACCUAACACAUGCAAGUCGAACGACAGCACAGUAAGAGCUUGCUCUUACGGGUGGCGAGUGGCGGACGGGUGAGGCAUACAUCGGAAUCUACUUUUUCGUGGGGGAUAACGUAGGGAAACUUACGCUAAUACCGCAUACGACCUACGGGUGAAAGCAGUGGAUCUUCGCACCUUGCGCGAUUCAAUGAGCCGAUGUCGGAUUAGCUAGUUGGCGUGGUAACGGCCCACCAAGGCGACGAUCCGUAGCUGGUCUGAGAGGAUGAUCAGCCACACUGGAACUGAGACACGGUCCAGACUCCUACGGGAGGCAGCAGUGGGGAAUAUUGCGCAAUGGGCGAAAGCCUGAUCCAGCCAUACCGCGUGAGUGAAGAAGGCCUUCGGGUCGUAAAGCCCUUUUGUUGGGAAAGAAAAGCAGCAUGAUAAUACCCGGCUGUUUUGACGGUACCUAAAGAAUAAGCACCGGCUAACUUCGUG